Molecule: ribosomal RNA, 699 nt
Filed under: uncultured Planctomycetales bacterium
Lineage: Bacteria; Pseudomonadati; Planctomycetota; Planctomycetia; Planctomycetales
Description: bacterial SSU rRNA
Rfam family: Bacterial small subunit ribosomal RNA
Source: RNAcentral
ACCGGCGGAAGGGCGAGUAAUGGUAUCGUCGUACCCUGAGGUGGGGGAUAGCCGCGGGAAACUGCGGGUAAUACCCCAUGUGCUCUACGGAGGAAAGCUCCGGCGCCUUGGGAGCGGCGAUAUUCCUAUCAGGUAGUUGGCGGGGUAAGAGCCCACCAAGCCGAAGACGGGUAGCGGGCGUGAGAGCGUGGCCCGCCGCAUCGGGACUGAGACACUGCCCGGACUCCUACGGGAGGCUGCAGCGACGAAUCUUCCGCAAUGCACGCAAGUGUGACGGAGCAAUGCCGCGUGUGGGAUGAAGCGGUUUCGCCGUGUAAACCACUGUCAGGACCUAGAAAGAACUGAUCGGGUCCAGAGGAAGGGCCGGCUAAUCUCGUGCCAGCAGCCGCGGUAAUACGAGAGGCCCGAGCGUUAAUCGGAAUCACUGGGCUUAAAGGGUGCGCAGGCUGGUCCGUGUGUGUGUCGUGAAAUCCCCCGGCUCAACCGGGGAAUUGCGGCGCAAACUGCGGACCUUGAGGCAGGUAGGGGUCGUUGGAACGAUCGGUGGAGCGGUGAAAUGCGUUGAGAUCGAUCGGAACGCCGAAGGUGAAGACAAGCGACUGGGCCUGACCUGACGCUCAUGCACGAAAGCGUGGGGAGCAAACAGGAUUAGAUACCCUGGUAGUCCACGCCGUAAACGAUGUGCACUAGAUCGGUGCG